Molecule: transfer RNA, 49 nt
Filed under: Mammuthus primigenius (woolly mammoth)
Lineage: Eukaryota; Metazoa; Chordata; Mammalia; Proboscidea; Elephantidae
Description: partial tRNA-Phe
Source: RNAcentral
AAGCAAGGUACUGAAAAUACCUAGACGAGUAUAUCCAACUCCAUAAACA